Molecule: ribosomal RNA, 1358 nt
Filed under: uncultured bacterium
Lineage: Bacteria
Description: bacterial SSU rRNA
Rfam family: Bacterial small subunit ribosomal RNA
Source: RNAcentral
CGCUAGCGGCAGGCUUAACACAUGCAAGUCGAGGGGCAGCAUGAGACGGAGAUUCGUCGAAGUCUUGAUGGCGACCGGCGCAAGGGUGCGUAACGCGUGAGCAACUUGCCCGUUUCAGGGGGAUAACCGUUGGAAACGACGACUAAUACCCCAUGGCAUCAUAAGGAGGCAUCUCCAUAUGAUUAAAGAAAUUCGGAAACGGAUAGGCUCGCGUGACAUUAGAUAGAUGGCGGGGUAACGGCCCACCAUGUCGACGAUGUCUAGGGGUUCUGAGAGGAAGGUCCCCCACACUGGAACUGAGACACGGUCCAGACUCCUACGGGAGGCAGCAGUGAGGAAUAUUGGUCAAUGGUCUGACGACUGAACCAGCCAUGCCGCGUGAAGGUGACGGCCCUAUGGGUCUUAAACUUCUUUUGCAAGGGAGCAAUAAGGUCUACGUGUGGACCGAUGAGAGUACCUUGCGAAUAAGCAUCGGCUAACUCCGUCCCAGCAGCCCGCGGUAAUACGGGGGAAGGCGAGCGUUAUCCGGAUUAUUGGGGUUAAAAGGGUGCGUAGGCGGUCUUUUAAGUCAGCGGUGAAAUUUAGGGGCUCAACCUCUACCGUGCCGUUGAUACUGGGAGGCUGGAAUGCGGAUGCCGUGGGAGGAAUGUGUGGUGUAGCGGUGAAAUGCAUAGAUAUCACACAGAACACCGAUUGCGAAGGCAUCUCACGAAUCCGCAAUUGACGCUCAUGCACGAAAGCGUGGGGAUCGAACAGGAUUAGAUACCCUGGUAGUCCACGCAGUAAACGAUGAAGGCUAGCUAUUGGCGAUAUACAGUCAGUGGCUAAGGGAAACCGAUAAGCCUUCCACCUGGGGAGUACGCCGGCAACGGUGAAACUCAGAGGAAUUGACGGGGGCCCGCACAAGCGGAGGAACAUGUGGUUUAAUUCGAUGAUACGCGAGGAACCUUACCCGGGCUUGAAAGUUAGUGCCGGACCUGGAAACAGGUCCUUCCGCAAGGACACGAAACUAGGUGCUGCAUGGUUGUCGUCAGCUCGUGCCGUGAGGUGUCGGCUCAAGUGCCAUAACGAGCGCAACCCUUGUCGCCAGUUGCCAUCAUUAGGUUGGGGACUCUGGCGAGACUGCCGCCGCAAGGUGAGAGGAAGGGGGGGAUGACGUCAAAUCAGCACGGCCCUUACGUCCGGGGCGACACACGUGUUACAAUGGUAGGUACAGCGGGAAGCCAUAUGGCGACAUAGAGCAGAACCCGAAAACCUAUCUCAGUUCGGAUUGGAGUCUGCAACUCGACUCCAUGAAGCUGGAUUCGCUAGUAAUCGCGCAUCAGCCACGGCGCGGUGAAUACGUUCCCGGGCCUUGU